RNAcentral lists this ribosomal RNA (555 nucleotides) under Bacillus cereus. RNAcentral describes it as "bacterial SSU rRNA". It matches the Rfam family "Bacterial small subunit ribosomal RNA", at positions 902 to 1457 of the family's 1533-position model. The record is from RNAcentral. Lineage: Bacteria; Bacillati; Bacillota; Bacilli; Caryophanales; Bacillaceae.
GAAAGGGAUAGUGGGGGGGGCGCACAAAUACCGUGGAGUAUGUGGUAUUAUUAAACGACACGAGGAGCCCUUUCUCAGGUCUUCACAUCCUUAGCCUAUCCUUAAUAGAAGAUUUCCCCUUCGGGACAAGAGUGACAGGUGGUGCAUGGUUGUCGUCAGCUCGUGUCGUGAGAUGUUGGGUUAAGUCCCGCAACGAGCGCAACCCUUGAUUUUAGUUGCCAUCAUUAAGUUGGGCACUCUAAGGGGACUGCCGGGGACAAAUCGGAGGAAGGUGGGGAUGACGUCAAAUCAUCAUGCCCCUUAUGACCUGGGCUACACACGUGCUACAAUGGGCGGUACAAAGGGUUGCCAAGCCGCGAGGUGGAGCUAAUCCCAUAAAACCGUUCUCAGUUCGGAUUGUAGGCUGCAACUCGCCUACAUGAAGCUGGAAUUGCUAGUAAUCGCGGAUCAGCAUGCCGCGGUGAAUACGUUCCCGGGUCUUGUACACACCGCACGUCACACCACGAGAGUUUGGACCCCCCGAAGUCGGUGGGGUACCUCUUGGAGCCAGCCCCC